GACGAGUGGCGCACGGGUGCGUAACGCGUAUAGAACCUACCCUGUACAGGGGGAUAGCCCAGAGAAAUUUGGAUUAAUACCCCGUGGUAACUAUAAAUGGCAUCAUUUAUAGUUUAAAGUUUUCGGACGGUACAGGAUGGCUAUGCGUCCUAUUAGUUAGAUGGUGAGGUAACGGCUCACCAUGGCAUCGAUAGGUAGGGGCCCUGAGAGGGGGAUCCCCCACACUGGUACUGAGACACGGACCAGACUCCUACGGGAGGCAGCAGUGAGGAAUAUUGGACAAUGGGCGUAAGCCUGAUCCAGCCAUGCCGCGUGCAGGAAGACGGCCCUAUGGGUUGUAAACUGCUUUUAUACGGGAAGAAUAAGGGACACGAGUGUCCUGGUGACGGUACCGUAAGAAUAAGGACCGGCUAACUCCGUGCCAGCAGCCGCGGUAAUACGGAGGGUCCGAGCGUUAUCCGGAAUUAUUGGGUUUAAAGGGUCCGCAGGCGGGCAAUUAAGUCAGGGGUGAAAUGGUACGGCUCAACCGUAGCACUGCCCUUGAUACUGGUUGUCUUGAGUCAUAGUGAAGUGGCCGGAAUAUGUAGUGUAGCGGUGGAAUGCAUAGAUAUUACAUAGAACACCGAUUGCGAAGGCAGGUCACUAACUAUCGACUGACGCUGAUGGACGAAAGCGUGGGGAGCGAACGGGAUUAGAUACCCCGGUAGUCCACGCCGUAAACGAUGGAUACUAGCUGUCCGCUGCCUUGAGCAGUGGGCGGCCCAGCGAAAGUGAUAAGUAUCCCACCUGGGGAGUACGUUCGCAAGAAUGAAACUCAAAGGAAUUGACGGGGGCCCGCACAAGCGGUGGAGCAUGUGGUUUAAUUCGAUGAUACGCGAGGAACCUUACCAGGGCUUAAAUGCAUAAUGACAGGUCUAGAGAUAGACUUUUCUUCGGACAUUUUGCAAGGUGCUGCAUGGUUGUCGUCAGCUCGUGCCGUGAGGUGUCAGGUUAAGUCCUAUAACGAGCGCAACCCCUGCCGUCAGUUGCCAGCAAGUAAAGUUGGGGACUCUGACGGGACUGCCG
RNAcentral lists this ribosomal RNA (1065 nucleotides) under uncultured bacterium. RNAcentral's name for it is "bacterial SSU rRNA". It matches the Rfam family "Bacterial small subunit ribosomal RNA", at positions 90 to 1154 of the family's 1533-position model. The record is from RNAcentral.